Molecule: ribosomal RNA, 579 nt
Filed under: uncultured bacterium
Lineage: Bacteria
Description: bacterial SSU rRNA
Rfam family: Bacterial small subunit ribosomal RNA
Source: RNAcentral
AACGAACGCUGGCGGCAUGCCUAACACAUGCAAGUCGAACGAUAAGCCACUUCGGUGGUGGACAGUGGCGCACGGGUGAGUAACACGUGGGGACCUGCCUGAUAGUAAGGGACAACAGUUUGAAAAGACUGCUAAUACCUUAUACGCCCUUUUGGGGAAAGAUUUAUCGCUAUCAGAUGGACCCGCGCUAGAUUAGAUAGUUGGUGAGGUAAUGGCUCACCAAGUCUACGAUCUAUAGCUGGUUUGAGAAGAUGAUCAGCCACAUUGGGACUGAGACACGGCCCAGACUCCUACGGGAGGCAGCAGUGGGGAAUAUUGUACAAUGGAGGAAACUCUGAUACAGCAAUGCCGCGUGAGUGAAGAAGGCCUUAGGGUUGUAAAACUCUUUCGCUAGGGAAGAUAAUGACGGUACCUAGUAAAGAAGUCCCGGCUAACUCCGUGCCAGCAGCCGCGGUAAUACGGAGGGGACUAGCGUUGUUCGGAAUUACUAGGCGUAAAGAGUUCGUAGGCGGAUAAGCAAGUAAGAGGUGAAAGCCCAGGGCUCAACCCUGGAACUGCCUUUUAAACUGCUUAUCUAGA